UGAAGCGGGAAAAGCUCAAAUUUAAAAUCUGGCGGUCUCUGGCUGUCCGAGUUGUAAUCUAGAGAAGUAAUGCCCGUGCUGGACCGUGUAUAAGUCUCCUGGGAUGGGGCGUCAUAGAGGGUGAGAAUCCCGUCUUUGACACGGACUACCAGUGCAUUGUGGUAUGCUCUCAAAGAGUCGAGUUGUUUGGGAAUGCAGCUCAAAAUGGGUGGUAAAUUCCAUCUAAAGCUAAAUAUUGGCGAGAGACCGAUAGCGAACAAGUACCGUGAGGGAAAGAUGAAAAGAACUUUGGAAAGAGAGUUAAACAGUACGUGAAAUUGCUGAAAGGGAAACGCUUGAAGUCAGUCGCGUUGGCCGGGGAUCAGCCUUGCUUUUGCAUGGUGUACUUUCUGGUUGACGGGUCAGCAUCAAUUUUGACCGCUGGAAAAAGACCUGGGGAAUGUGGCAGCUUCGGCUGUGUUAUAGCCCCUAGUCGCAUACAGUGGUUGGGAUUGAGGAACUCAGCACGCCGCAAGGCCGGGUUUCGACCACGUUCGUGCUUAGGAUGCUGGCAUAAUGGCUUUAAGCGACCCGUCUUGAAACACGGACCAAGGAGUCUAACAUGCCUGCGAGUAUUUGGGUGGAAAACCCAAGUGCGUAAUGAAAGUGAAAGUUGAGAUCCCUGUCGUGGGGAGCAUCGACGCCCGGACCAGAACUUUUGGGACGGAUCCGCGGUGGAGCAUGUAUGUUGGGACCCGAAAGAUGGUGAACUAUGCCUGAAUAGGGUGAAGCCAGAGGAAACUCUGGUGGAGGCUCGUAGCGAUUCUGACGUGCAAAUCGAUCGUCAAAUUUGGGUAUAGGGGCGAAAGAC
Molecule: ribosomal RNA, 850 nt
Filed under: Agaricus sylvicola
Lineage: Eukaryota; Fungi; Basidiomycota; Agaricomycetes; Agaricales; Agaricaceae
Description: partial large subunit ribosomal RNA
Rfam family: Eukaryotic large subunit ribosomal RNA
Source: RNAcentral